CGCCGCCGCCUCCGUCCGUCGGACGGAUUAUCUCUGAGGGUACAAAGGCUGCGAGCGCGGUGCGGAGCCGGGGAUCUCCGCUUAGUGCCCGUAUCCCGGGGCACGGCCUCUGGCACGGCGCCCUCGGGGACGGCAGAGCGCCGAUCGCUCCGGCGUAGGUCAGCUGCGAGCCGAAGUUCCCCUUUCCGAGGUCGGUUUGUCCAUUGUGUCUCUGAAAAGCAGCAAUCCACCGAUUUCCUCCAGCUGGAGAAGUGCCUGUGGAAGGAAGAGCCGUUUGUUUUGGUCCCCGCUCUCCCCAGCCCGUCUCUGCCCUCGGUAAUACCGCUUUGGGAAACCUUAGAAAUGGCCGUAACAGCUGCUCUGCUGCGGUGCACGAUCCCUAAAUUGCAAGGUUAGCUUUGCUCCUGGCGGUGCACUGAAUGCUGACAGCCUCUGCCUGCGUUUAGGGCUCCGUUUACACCUAAGGCUGUCGCCAGGUGCGUGCAUCGAUUUGUUUGGCUUAGUUUCCUUCUCUUGCUUAAAAUCGUGUUGCUGGGAAGGUCCAGGAAGCACGUGAGCCUGAGGUGCGAUGUGAGUGUUGUCCUGGAGCCCCGUGCAAAGGUAUUCCUUCACCUGGCCUGCUGGCGGUGCUGCUCAGAGACCUCCAACGAGGUGGGUCACCAAGUGCAGGGUUGGCAGUGAAGUUGUCCCCUUCUGCCUCCCUCUCGAUCAGCAGCGUUGGCAGGGCUGCUGUCUGUGAAGAGCACCGUCCCUGGACGUGUUCAGGAAAAGGGCAGAUGUGGCACUGAGGGCCGUGGUUAGCAGGCAUGGUGGGGAUGGGCUGAUAGUUGGACUUGGUGAUCUUAGUGGUUGCUUUUGACCUUCAUGAUUCUAGAUUUUAUGAAUACAGACUGUGUGUUGGAGGACUGUAACGCUCUCCAUCAGACGAGGUGUGAGCUGUGGGGCGCACAGGAGCGGAAAGGAGGCCUGACUCCACUGCAGCUGGGAUGAUUGGAGUGUUCCUGGGGCGGGACCAGGCUCUGUUAAUCUAAAAGCCCCUGGCAGGCUGCAUAAUCAUUUAAAACCUUCUUAAAACAUUUGCCUAGCCGUGUGUGUUUUAUUUAUAUUGCAUUUUGUGGUGAAUAGAUGCCCUUUGCUGUCCCUUGCACAAUUGCGCUUAUGGGAUGCUUGCCAUUUGUAAGUAUGGGUUUCCAUUUCUGUUUUGAUAAUUUCUUUUGGUCAUCAUUUCAAAGAUAUAAAUAUGUACAAGGGGGAUAUGCCACCGGCCUUAGUAACAGAGCAGAAUGUAAUAGAUACUCUAUCUCAGAAGUGGUUUAGGAUUCCUGGGUGGAAAAUGCUCAAGUGUAGAGAUGUUAUUACUUCAUAGUGUAUGAAAAUAUUGCUGUAAUACAGUAAGUAUUGCAUAAAUAACUUAUAUUCAUUCUUACAAGUCACAGAAUUAGCUCAUAUUUGAGAAGAUGUCUCUAAAUGUAACUGUAGAUGAAAAAUCCUCCCUGUCUCUCUCUUUGCUGUGAUGAGGGUGAGUGUUGGUUGGCUGUAUGUGGUACGGUCCUACAUUCAUGGCAUAAACUUGUUUGAGCAACAGGAACUGUGUAUGCAUCAUUCUUCUUAAACCUCUUGUUUUGGACGUCAAGAAGCAGAGAUUUUGGUGUGAUAAGCACAAAGCAGAAGAGUAUUUUGCUUUCUUCCACAUUUCCUGUUCAUUGAAGUGUUGGUAACUCCAGAGUUUGGCCAGAGCUUUUUAUUUGCUUGGAGGCUAACUGGGGCUAUAUGCAUGCAGCCUUGUUUUCUAUCUUUUCUUUUCUUUUUUUUACUGUUUCCUUCUGUUUGCCUCUGUAACAAAUGAGACAGGACAUGUUGUUUCUGUUUAUAAUGUCGCCAGAAUUGAGGUUACUGACCUCACUGGCCCAGCGAGCUGUCCCUGUAGGGAAGUUGUAGCAUCCCCCGAGGUGGAUAAUAAACUCAAGUGGUUCAUAAAGUGUCCUUUAACCCUGACACUUGUUAAUUGAUUUCCGAGCUGGAGCGGUUUGUAACUUAGCUAAUUUUUAUUUCCUUCUGUCCAGCUCGGGGACUGUAGAAACAGUCUGGUUGUUUUCUGACUCCUGCCCUUUGCAUGGCUCUGUAUGUUGUCACACGGUGCCUUAUAGGAGCUUGGUGACUCUCUGAGCCGCAUCCAUGCUGUGCAGCUCUACCAAAAUCACUGCGUGAGAAACCUCCUGGCCUCGCUGUCAUCAUGUCAGCAAAAUCCCAAGCACAGACAGCGUGCUUCUGGUGGAAAGCUGCUUCUGUAGCACUGCUCGGGUCUUUGGGGAGUGGUUGGCUAUGGUGGGAGGCAAGCCCAUUCAUUCCGUGUCCAUUCCGUUUUCUGAUUCUUUAGUAUUCGUGUAAUGGUGAAGUCAAGGCUGAAUGCAGUUCUCCAUGCAAGGGUGUGCAUGUCUGUUCAGCUCAGGGCUGGGGCUUUAUGCACUGUUUCACUUCUGUGCUUUUCUGGCUCACUCAGACUCUGUUAUGUAUCAGACACCCUAAUGCAGAGCAGCUCUGUUAGAAGUGUGUUAUGAUUAAAGGUGUCUGCAUAUUCCUUCUUUGUACUUAGCUAGCUGCUUGCUUUUGACAGUGUGCUACUGCUCUCUUUGUAAGUAUUUUAUUUUUUAUUUUCUAAGGAAUCCACAGAAUUUAAAAAAAAAAAGAAAAGAAAAAGAGUAAAAAGCACUCUCAACUUGCAGGUUAGCAGUUUGUGAUUUUCUUUUCCCUUUUUUUUUUUCUUUUUUUUUCUUUGCUAUCCAUUAUAGUUUCUCUCAAUUCUGGGCACUGUGUGAGAUGAGUAAUAUCAAAUCUCUUUAGCAAAGAUAAAGCUGCUGCCGAAGUGAAAUGAAUCCUGACUAAUGUUCAGUGCUAAUAAUUACAGAACUAAAAUAAAAGAAAUUAAAUGAGCUAUGGAUUUUCUGUAGCUGAGAAGUUCAGUGUAGAUAUGUUUCUUUGCUGAAUCUGCAUCUGAAUCUCAAGGUUAUCUCAUCCGCUUUUUAUUUACACUUAAAAAAAA
RNAcentral lists this long non-coding RNA (3040 nucleotides) under Meleagris gallopavo (turkey). RNAcentral's name for it is "lncRNA (ENSMGAG00000019559.1)". The record is from RNAcentral. Lineage: Eukaryota; Metazoa; Chordata; Aves; Galliformes; Phasianidae.